GUCCGCGUGGCCCAAUGGAUAAGGCGUCUGACUUCAGAUCAGAAGAUUUACGGAGGUUCGACUCCCUGCCGGACG
Molecule: non-coding RNA, 75 nt
Organism: Araneus ventricosus
Lineage: Eukaryota; Metazoa; Arthropoda; Arachnida; Araneae; Araneidae
Source: the annotation of a GenBank genome assembly